Molecule: ribosomal RNA, 253 nt
Filed under: uncultured bacterium
Lineage: Bacteria
Description: partial 16S ribosomal RNA
Rfam family: Bacterial small subunit ribosomal RNA
Source: RNAcentral
UACGUAGGGUGCGAGCGUUACUCGGAAUUACUGGGCGUAAAGCGUGCGCAGGCGGUUUUGUAAGUCCGCUGUGAAAUCCCCGGGCUUAACCUGGGAACUGCGUUUGAAACUACAAGGCUAGAGUGUAGCAGAGGGGGGUGGAAUUCCACGUGUAGCAGUGAAAUGCGUAGAGAUGUGGAGGAACACCGAUGGCGAAGGCAGCCCCCUGGGUUAACACUGACGCUCAGGCACGAAAGCGUGGGGAGCAAACAGG